Molecule: long non-coding RNA, 331 nt
Organism: Arachis duranensis
Lineage: Eukaryota; Viridiplantae; Streptophyta; Magnoliopsida; Fabales; Fabaceae
Exons: 3
Source: RefSeq, a predicted model, not a curated record
AGACAGAAGCUCUCUGCAGAGUGAUCAAGACAAAGGUCAGAAAGAAAAGGAGUUUGCAAAGAAGCAUUUCAAGCCAAGGAUGAUUGUCCAUCCACGCUUUGAAAACAUAACUGCUGAUGAAGCAAUGGAGAAGGGCAGGAUGAAUAUGAAAAUGAUGGAUUUAUAGUGGAUGAUGUUGAAGAUGAAGAUGAGCAAGAUGAAGAAGAGAGGACAGAAAGUGAUGAUGACCGGCAGAAGAAGAAAAAGCGGAAGAAAAAGGUGGAGUAUGUCCUUGAUGAAGAUGAUUAUGACUUGUUGAAGGAUAAUAACAUCAAUAUUCAUCGUCGGAAGG